AGACAAAGUCUCUCCCGUCAGCAAAGGGCAGGUGGACACCCAGGAUGGAAAGGAGCCAUUUGAGAGGCACAAGCAUCAGCCUUCUCUGCCCUGCAGCCAGGGGCUGAUGGAGCUGGUGUUGGUAUACCAGGGGGCCACUCAGACUUCCUUCAUCCCCAGAACCAAAGGGACCAGAAACUUAGAAGAUGUCACAGUUUUAUCUACUACUGACCGGGCAGGCAGGGCUGCCUGGUAGUGAAAAAAUAUGGUACGUAACAGAGUCGAGACAGGCUUGUGUCGGACGGACGCAGACUCCCACCCUGCGCUGCACUGCCUGGCCACCUGAUCUCCCUCAACGAGCCUCAGUUUUUCACCUGUAAAGUGGGGAUAAUGCAUCCACAUCUCAGGAUCACUGCAAAGAGUGAGGACAUCACAUAUAAAAAACUGGCCCACAGAAGGCAUGGAGUAAAUGCCAGCUGUUACAGCAGCUUCUGAAGGAAGGCAGAGCCUGCCUAGCAGCCACCCCACUGGCAAACGUGUCAACAGGAAGAGUGAGAAGUGAGCAAUGCCUCCUGAGCUGAUGCCUACAGAGGAGCUGUGACAAUCUGCCUCUAGAACAAUCUCAGCAAGCUGCCUGGCACAGGGGAAAUCCAACCAUGACGACUUUGCCCAGACUCUGCAAGAUGCUUUCUAAUUGUUGGUGUUCACGAGGGACAAGCAACAGCUGAGCUCAUUCCCUUCCUAUCAAUUUGCAACAUCUGCCCCAGCCCUUACUGACAGUAGAGAACAAUAAGAACUUUCCGAGCACACCUUUAGGCCACCAAUCUUCAGUGACUUACUGGGCCCUUCCAGAAAUCAGAUUUUCUAACUGGUCCCUGCAUUGGCCCCAGUUGCUUUGGAGUGCGGAGGGAAGGAAGACACAGAACAGCUUGUAAUCGUAGAAGACAUGAUCAGAGCUGGAGUUUUGAAUGGGAAACUGCUGGCCACGUGCGAGGUGGCUAACAGAUGGAAAAUAACAGAGGCCAUGCGUCCAGUGUGGAGGAGAUGAGGGGUCCUGAGCCAAGGCAGUGGCAGUGAGGAAGGCAGACUGGGGAAUGGACUUUUAAAAAUGGAUUUGAAAAUAUCCACUGAGCACUUUCCCCCCGCCUCUGACCACUCCAUAUCCACUCCAAUCCCUCCCUCCAAAGCUUCACUCUGCAGCCAAGUGAUCAUUUCAAAGCAGAUCUCAUCACAUCUCCCCUGCUUACCAGCUCUCUGAAGGCUUCUGAAUUCCUUUGAGAUAAAAGUCCACAUUCUUUAGCAUGGUCUGAAGGCCCCAUGGGGUCUGGUCA
Molecule: non-coding RNA, 1310 nt
Organism: Macaca mulatta (Rhesus monkey)
Lineage: Eukaryota; Metazoa; Chordata; Mammalia; Primates; Cercopithecidae
Source: RefSeq, a predicted model, not a curated record